Molecule: long non-coding RNA, 2267 nt
Organism: Artibeus jamaicensis (Jamaican fruit-eating bat)
Lineage: Eukaryota; Metazoa; Chordata; Mammalia; Chiroptera; Phyllostomidae
Exons: 4
Source: RefSeq, a predicted model, not a curated record
CCCGCCCCCGACGCGCCACGCAGUUUCGGGGUCCCGGCGGGGGCGGGGGCGCGAGAGGCCCCCCCCAAGGGCCCAGACUCACCUGUGUGCGUUCGCAGGUGCGAUUUGAGGAGCUGUGAAAUAAAAGGAAGGUGGUCCCUGAUGCUGGGCCAGCAACCCCGUCGGAUGAAUCCCACAGCUAAGUUGGUCCUGCACCCUGACUGAGAGCCAGACAGGCAUCCUGGCCCAUGGGCCAUACCAAAUGAAAGGGAAAGGGGGUGCAUUCUGGGAUAUACCACUGGCUUCCCUCAUCACUGUACUGCAUAGUAACCCAGAGUCCAGAGAAAGGCUCAGGACCCUGUGUGGACAAAGCAGUCUCAGCAAAAUGCCUUACCAAGAGUCCUGACUCAGUAAACCUACAUUCUGAUGGGAUAAAAAGACAACAUGCUCUGUGACAAGUGUAGCACCAGCAGUCAGUGGGAGCAUAAGGCUGAGGGGGUCAGGUCAGGAGGCGGGUUGCUUUGGGGAAGAAAGCAACUGAAGCAAGAGAUUGAAGAAGUCAGACUUGUUAAGAAAAGUUAGCUAUGCUGGUAGAAGACAAAGACCAAGCUUAGUGAGGGUUAUGUGAGACUCAAAGCCCAUUCUGUGCAAAUGUUCUAGGGUGAGAAGGGCAACCCGGAGCUAGGGCCGCAAAUGUUCUCGGCUCUAAUGAGUACACAUCUCACAUUCAGUUUGGCUUCUAAACGUCCCGUAUUAUAAAAAAUGACUUGACUCCCGGCCAGAGGGGCCCAUGUGGAUCGGAAGGGAUGAAGGCACUAGCAGCUUCUCUGCCCGCUCCCAGGCCAGGGCACUUCCCAGUGAUAGAGACGGGUAGUAGGGGAUUCCAUAGGCUCAAAGACUGGGUUGCCCAGAGAGGCCAGGAUAUUUGUACAAACCUGGAUGCAGGGCAGUGAGAGGGGUCGGUAGGAAAGGAAUCUCUCCUGUGACCCGGGUGAGUCACCUCCGGUCUGACAGUGGCAACUGUAGUACCUUUUACGCGCCUGAUGGACAUUCUAAGCUCUCUGAGUACUCAAGUCUCUCGUUCCCAGUUAGAAGCAAAAAAAACAAAACAAAACAAAACAAAAAAAAACCUCUGCGAAGCAAAGUACCAGAAGGCCAAACCUGGCCAGACAGAUGGGGAGUGAGCCACCGCUACCUGAUCCCGCUGUGUGUCAACACUGAAAUCCGAGGAGGCACCGCUGCAAGAGGGAACUGCGUGCGACCUAACCCCAGGGCACCCCGUUCUGACUUAGGGAGGUCGAGGCGCGCGGGGACGGGAAGGAACAGUUGGGAGCAGCGGAAAGGUCAGGGGCCGGCAGGGCGGGAUACGAGCCCCCAGCCACUUACCAGCGAGGCAGGAGCCUCCUAGCCAGCUCCACCGUCGGCCGCUUCCGGGCAAGCGCCAUGCCACUUCCGCCCGACCUCACAUUUGACGCAAGUUCCCGAGGUCGUCUCCACCCAGGGCCGAAGCACCGCCCCCCUCCCGCCCUCCUUAAAGGGGUCACACAAUGCCAGGGGUCUUCGGCUAGGUAAAGCCUGGUGGAAUCAAGUUGCUCCACCAAGUACUUACCCCACCACAGCCUGGUCCCAACACAAACUAAGCCGCCGCCCAACCAAGGGAUAGACGACACGUUAUUUGCCCCAGGAGUUCGCAGGAGACAUUCUGGGUCUGGAGGUGAGCGUGGACUGCAGCUGAGGUCCAGAGAGAACCCGGACUUCAAGGGUAACUCAAGCGAACGGAGGUCAAAGGCCCUGAGGCUUGUUGCAGAAACCCAGCCCCAGGUGGCCCCUUUUCCUGGGAGAGACCCCGUAAGGCCCUCAGACCUCCCACUGCCCUACACCAGGGCUUCAGCCUUCACAUUGGCAAAGGAAGUGACCUAGCCCGGCCCCUCAAGACCCUGGAAAGCUGUUAGCCCUCUGUGCAGUUCAUCUUCCAGGACAGGAGGAACAGGAAGAGCAGCCUUGUGAUUUCAAGCGUCCUUAUCUACUAUGAGAGCGAUUGCGCCACGUCCUUAUCCAUCACGGGAGUUGAAGAGUGCCUCAAAGCAGGACAAGCACAGACCCACUGCGGCCACUUGCCCCCCAGGGUUGUCUUUAAGAGACAUUCUCCCAGAAGGCGCACCAAAUCUGGGCAGGGAAGGUCCUGGGUUCGAAUGCUGCCAAUACCGCCACCACCACACCCAGGCAACCAAUAGCCACAAGGUGCUCUGGUUGGGACCUUAUCCCCUCUUCCACGAACGAGAGUGACA